GGACUACAAGGGUAUCUAAUCCUGUUUGCUACCCACGCUUUCGUGCCUCAGUGUCAGUCUAGGUCCAGGAGGCCGCCUUCGCCACUGGUGUUCCUUCCGAUAUCUACGCAUUUCACCGCUACACCGGAAAUUCCACCUCCCUCUACCCGACUCUAGUAAACCAGUAUUGAAUGCAAUUCCUAGGUUAAGCCCAGGGCUUUCACAUCCAACUUAACUUACCACCUACGCACCCUUUACGCCCAGUAAUUCCGAUUAACGCUCGCACCCUCUGUAUUACCGCGGCUGCUGGCAC
This 292-nucleotide ribosomal RNA is filed under the name uncultured bacterium. RNAcentral describes it as "partial 16S ribosomal RNA". The record is from RNAcentral.